UCCCUAGCAUGUGGUAGCUGUCUGAUUGGUUGAAUCCGUUUGGCCGUCUCACGUUUGAUUGGAAGGUCAUAGGGCGCUCAAGGGUUAGCUGACGUGACCUUCUACUAGGGUUUGUUAGACUGAGGUCAGUAUAGCAGUGUAACGAAUAAUACUGAGCCUAAGUUUA
Long non-coding RNA from Haliotis rubra (blacklip abalone), 166 nucleotides. RefSeq lists it as uncharacterized. The record is from RefSeq and is a predicted model, not a curated record. The transcript is spliced from 3 exons. NCBI's taxonomy places the organism in Eukaryota, Metazoa, Mollusca, Gastropoda, Lepetellida, Haliotidae.